UGGGGAAUAUUGGACAAUGGGCGAAAGCCUGAUCCAGCGACGCCGCGUGGGUGAUGAAGGCCUUCGGGUCGUAAAGCCCUGUCUGGGGGGAAGAAGCUCUCGCCGGUGAACAAUCGGCGAGAUUGACGGUACCCCCGAAGGAAGCACCGGCUAACUCCGUGCCAGCAGCCGCGGUAAGACGGAGGGUGCAAGCGUUGCUCGGAAUUACUGGGCGUAAAGGGCGCGUAGGCGGUCUGCUAAGUUCGGUGUGAAAGCCCCCGGCUCAACCGGGGAAGGGCGCCGGAAACUGGCGGACUAGAGUACCGGAGAGGAGGGUGGAAUUCCUGGUGUAGCGGUGAAAUGCGUAGAUAUCAGGAGGAACACCGGUGGCGAAGGCGGCCCUCUGGACGGAUACUGACGCUGAGGCGCGAAAGCGUGGGGAUCAAACAGG
RNAcentral lists this ribosomal RNA (430 nucleotides) under uncultured bacterium. RNAcentral's name for it is "bacterial SSU rRNA". It matches the Rfam family "Bacterial small subunit ribosomal RNA", at positions 355 to 776 of the family's 1533-position model. The record is from RNAcentral.